GGCCCAGGUCACCGAGCAGACCAUCUGCACGUCCAACCAGUGCUCAACAGCAGCCAAAGGGGAGUACCUUCACUGCUAAUUCCUGUGGCUGAACAACUGUCACAAGUGUUUUCUUUCAAAGGAGCCUCUUGUGCACACCCAACAUUCCCACUGGCUGGGCAGAAUGAGAAGCAGGAGAAUCCUUGGCUCUGUGUAAGCAUUGCUCUCCAACAACGAAAACAUGGAUGUAUUAUCAACAUUAUUUUCCUCCUAAAUCCAAAUCACAGCACUAUACCAGCUACUACGAAGAAAAUUAAUUCUAUCCCAGCUGAAAUCAGGAAACUACAGAAGCCACAAACCAGAUAUGUGCCUUGUAUGAAGAACUGAAAUCAACCAAAUUAUUCCCAAACUACAGUUCGAUUUGAUCCCAUUGAGUUAUACAACCUCCAGUUGAAGACGUAUCCAUGUUGCAGAUGGAAAUCUUGAUAGCAGAUAAAAAGGCUCCAGAGGAAAUGAACAUCUUUUUUUCUCUUUGGAUAAUUGACUGUGGUAGGGCUAUGAUUGCUUAGAAACCCUUCUAAUUUCCAGUAAACCAAAUAAAAUUGCAAAUGGAAGUA
Gallus gallus (chicken) is the source of this 596-nucleotide long non-coding RNA. RefSeq lists it as uncharacterized. The transcript is spliced from 2 exons. The record is from RefSeq and is a predicted model, not a curated record. Lineage: Eukaryota; Metazoa; Chordata; Aves; Galliformes; Phasianidae.